Molecule: long non-coding RNA, 732 nt
Organism: Daphnia pulex (common water flea)
Lineage: Eukaryota; Metazoa; Arthropoda; Branchiopoda; Diplostraca; Daphniidae
Exons: 3
Source: RefSeq, a predicted model, not a curated record
GUUGACAACGCAGUCCAAGAUAGCUAACCAGUUGUUGUUAUGAAAUGGAUGCUGUUGAAGCUACCAAGAAAUUCGUAAGUUCAAAGUGCGAUUGGAAUAUUUUCCAGUAGUUAUUCGGCUUCAACCAGUGACCCAGUUACUAAAAUCGAGCAGGAACUUGUUCUUCAGGCGAAAUCAAAGGCUGAUUUGGCAGUUAACGAAAUGCAGAAAAUGGCUAUAGAGUCAGGCAUCCUGUUUUGAGACUCGCUGGUCUUUCAGGAGCAGCUGCAGUAAUAUUGGGAGCAUAUGGUGCACUGCACACGCUUUCUUGAAAAAGGAAGAUGUCACCAAUGAAUUCAAGCAGGUCUUCGAAACUGCCAACAAUAAGUAUCAUUUUCUACAUUCAAUUGCUUUAUUGGGUGUUCCACUGUGCCGCAGACCUCAACUGGUAAUAAUAUGUUUUUUUCUCUUAAUAAGAUAUUAGAUUUAUUUGUUAAAUAAUCUUGUUAAGUUUUUCAUAUUCUUGGAAAAGUAACUGAAUUGAGCACACCAAUUAUUUAUCUUUUUUCGCUUCACAAGACUGGUACCCUCCUGAUUCUAGGAACCUUGAUUUUUUCUGGCACAUGCUACUACUAUGCCUUAACUGAAGAACGCUGGAUUCUCAUGUACACGCCAUACGGAGGGUUCUUACUUAUUUUUGGUUGGCUUUCUAUGGCUCUGUAAUAAUGCAUUACAUUAUAACUUCUAUCAUUA